Molecule: ribosomal RNA, 550 nt
Filed under: Pichia kudriavzevii
Lineage: Eukaryota; Fungi; Ascomycota; Pichiomycetes; Pichiales; Pichiaceae
Description: partial large subunit ribosomal RNA
Rfam family: Eukaryotic large subunit ribosomal RNA
Source: RNAcentral
GGAGGAAAAGAAACCAACAGGGAUUGCCUCAGUAGCGGCGAGUGAAGCGGCAAGAGCUCAGAUUUGAAAUCGUGCUUUGCGGCACGAGUUGUAGAUUGCAGGUUGGAGUCUGUGUGGAAGGCGGUGUCCAAGUCCCUUGGAACAGGGCGCCCAGGAGGGUGAGAGCCCCGUGGGAUGCCGGCGGAAGCAGUGAGGCCCUUCUGACGAGUCGAGUUGUUUGGGAAUGCAGCUCCAAGCGGGUGGUAAAUUCCAUCUAAGGCUAAAUACUGGCGAGAGACCGAUAGCGAACAAGUACUGUGAAGGAAAGAUGAAAAGCACUUUGAAAAGAGAGUGAAACAGCACGUGAAAUUGUUGAAAGGGAAGGGUAUUGCGCCCGACAUGGGGAUUGCGCACCGCUGCCUCUCGUGGGCGGCGCUCUGGGCUUUCCCUGGGCCAGCAUCGGUUCUUGCUGCAGGAGAAGGGGUUCUGGAACGUGGCUCUUCGGAGUGUUAUAGCCAGGGCCAGAUGCUGCGUGCGGGGACCGAGGACUGCGGCCGUGUAGUCACGGAUG